This 201-nucleotide ribosomal RNA is filed under the name Pseudoduganella ginsengisoli. RNAcentral's name for it is "Bacterial large subunit ribosomal RNA". It matches the Rfam family "Bacterial large subunit ribosomal RNA", at positions 2105 to 2305 of the family's 2925-position model. The record is from Rfam by way of RNAcentral. Lineage: Bacteria; Pseudomonadati; Pseudomonadota; Betaproteobacteria; Burkholderiales; Oxalobacteraceae.
UGUAGCUUUGCAUUGGACUUUGAACCAAUCUGUGUAGGAUAGGUGGGAGGCUUUGAAGCGGGGACGCCAGUUCUCGUGGAGCCAUCCUUGAAAUACCACCCUGGUUUGUUUGAGGUUCUAACCUUGGUCCGUAAUCCGGAUCGGGGACAGUGCAUGGUAGGCAGUUUGACUGGGGCGGUCUCCUCCUAAAGUGUAACGGAG